UACGAAGGUUGCAAGCGUUAAUCGGAAUUACUGGGCGUAAAGCGUGCGUAGGCGGUCUUUUAAGUCCGUUGUGAAAGCCCUGGGCUCAACCUGGGAAUGGCAGUGGAUACUGAGAGGCUGGAGUGCGGUAGAGGAGGGUGGAAUUCCCGGUGUAGCGGUGAAAUGCGUAGAGAUCGGGAGGAACAUCAGUGGCGAAGGCGGCCCUCUGGACCAGCACUGACGCUGAGGCACGAAAGCGUGGGGAGCAAACAGG
RNAcentral lists this ribosomal RNA (253 nucleotides) under uncultured bacterium. RNAcentral's name for it is "partial 16S ribosomal RNA". It matches the Rfam family "Bacterial small subunit ribosomal RNA", at positions 524 to 776 of the family's 1533-position model. The record is from RNAcentral.